CGCCGACCGACACGCCGACGGACGCGCCGACGGACGCGCCGAGCGACCGGCCCGGCCCCCGAGCGCGAUGCCGCGGCGUUAGCGAAAGCAUCUGGUUCUCCCCCCCGCUCCGGGGGGCUCAGGCCGUGCCCGGGCCCUUCCCGCGGGCUCCGGGGUCCCCCCGCUCCGCUGCGCUUCCCGGGGGGGCUCUGUCCGCCCGAGCCCCCCGAGUCCCGCUCGGGACAGGAGGGGGACAGCGGGGUGUCCCCUCUUCCCCACCCCCGGCGGGGAUCCCGGCCCAGGGCAGGCGUUGGAGAGGCCGAAUCGCCCUCGCUUGUCUCCAGCGGAUCCCAAAAUCCACCCCAGCACCCCCGGGCUGCCCCGGCCCCCUGAGCCCCGCGGGGCCGGGCGUGGGGCACCCCCGGGAGCCCGGGGCAGCAGCGCCGUGCGCCGCCCCCUCAGAGGGCCGGCUCUUGGCGACGGGGGGAUUUUUUUGGUUUUCAGCCUAUUUUGCAAUUCGCCCGGGUCCAGGCCCCGGCCCCAGGCGGGCCCGAGCCCACCCGAGCCCCGCGGGGAGCGGCCAGGGUGUUCCAGAGCAGCCCCGGCCGGCCCCAGUGCUGGAGAGGAGGCGCAUUAAAGGAGUAAAAAGGAAGGAGAGAAAGGAAAGAGGGAAUUCAGCAGAUAUUUUUAAAAGGGAUUUUUUUAAAAGGAUGGAAAUUAAAAGAGGAAAAAAAUUUAAAAUUUUAAAAAAUAGAGAGUGUAAGUAAAAUAGUGACUAGCGAAAGAGACCCAAAUAAAGAGAGAGGUAAAAUAAAAGAGUAAAAUAAAACCCAAACAAAACCGCCAAACAAACCCAACCCCAAAUUCAUUUAAAAUCUAAUACCGAAGGAAAAAAAACAAGUCCCUUUCAGGCGAGUUUAAAUUUGCAUUUUAUGGGUGUCGUUUCCAUCUUUUCAGUUAAACAUCACCCUGUUUAUCAUCCCCGCUCGCCGCUGCGCUCAGCAGUGGGAUCUCUCUCCUUUCCGGGGUGCCGGUGCUGCAGCAGCCCCGAGCUCCCACCGCGGUUCCUCGUGGAGCAUCCCCAGCACAAACUUCCCUCCCGCGCCCCGGCACACGCUCUCACCGCAUCCACCCCCCGACAGCACUAAGUUUUCCCUCUUUCCCCAUUCAUUUUAAAUUCGAUUUUCUUUUUCCCCCUCCUUUUAAACCUUCCUCCAGGACCGCGCGCGGGCUCGGGGCCGGUGACCGGCGGCUUCCCCGACGGGGCGGGCGCGGCCCCGAGCUCCCGUUCCGACCCCUCCGCCCCCGGUGCGGCGCGGCCCGGGGGCCGGGGUCUCUCCCGGCGGUGUCUCGGAGCACCCCCCGCCACCCCGAGCGGCGCUGUGGGGGGACAGGGAAGGUGGGGGUCCCGCCUGCCCCCCGUCCCCAGCACCUUCCCCCGCAGAGAGAGCGCCUCCGCCUGAUUAAAUAUCCGCGCGGGUAAUGCUCUAGCCAAAUAUUGAAGUUAAGAUGUAAUUAAGCCUUUAGAACAUCCCCGCACCAUAAACCCCACGGCUGGACAGGAUCCAUCCCCGGGGUUGUUUUAAAAGAGCUUGGCAAAAAAAAAAAAAAAAAAAAAAAAAAAAAAGGAAGAAGAAGAAGAAGAUCUUUAAAUUAUGUAUUAGAAGGUCCCAGUUUAUCCUGCCACACUCGGGUCGAUGCUGAGGGUAAACACCACACUGUCGCCCCCCGGCUCCGCUCGCCUUUCCCUUUUCUUUCCUUUCUUUUCUAUUUAUUUUCCUUUUCCUUAUUUAUUUUCCUGCCCCCCACCCCCGUGAUUAGCCCUCCCGGGUUUCUGCCCACGUCGCUAAAUGUUGUCGCUUACACUGCGAGCUCAUGCAUUGUUUAUGGGAAAUACGGUUAAUAAAUAAUUACAAAUCCGA
Molecule: long non-coding RNA, 1901 nt
Organism: Motacilla alba alba
Lineage: Eukaryota; Metazoa; Chordata; Aves; Passeriformes; Motacillidae
Exons: 2
Source: RefSeq, a predicted model, not a curated record